This 253-nucleotide ribosomal RNA is filed under the name uncultured bacterium. RNAcentral's name for it is "partial 16S ribosomal RNA". It matches the Rfam family "Bacterial small subunit ribosomal RNA", at positions 524 to 776 of the family's 1533-position model. The record is from RNAcentral.
UACAGAGGGUGCGAGCGUUAAUCGGAAUUACUGGGCGUAAAGCGCACGUAGGCGGCUUGGUAUGUCGGGUGUGAAAUCCCCGGGCUUAACCUGGGAAUGGCAUUUGGGACUGCAAGGCUCGAGUGCGGCAGAGGAGACUGGAAUUCCUGGUGUAGCAGUGAAAUGCGUAGAUAUCAGGAGGAACACCGAUGGCGAAGGCAGGUCUCUGGGCUGACACUGACGCUCAUGCACGAAAGCGUGGGGAGCAAACAGG